AUAUCACUCACCAUCCAGGCAGGGGACAGUUAAAUACAUCUUAGGGUGAAAAUGUCUCAAGCAACAAGGCAAAGCAUCAUGAAGAGGCUGUUGAGCACUGUGCUGGGGCUUUUGUGCACCCAUGUUUGCUGUGUGAAAGGGCUGCAGGUGGAGCAGAAUCCCUCAGCCUUGAGUCUCCAGGAAGGAGCCAGUUCCACACUGUGGUGCAACUUUUCCACCUCUGUGAACAAUGUGCAAUGGUUUCACCAAAAUUCUGAGGGCCACCUCAUCAACCUGUUUUACAUUCCUUCAGGGACAAAGUGGAAUGGAAACUUAAAUGCUACGAAAAAGGAACGCCACAGUACAUUGUUUAUUUCCUCUUCCAAGACCACAGACUCAGCCACUUUAUUUCUGUGCUGUGGAGCCACAGCGCUUCCCGGGCACCUGCAGCCCGUACACAAAUUCUCAGCUGAGCUCAGCUCCUCCCCCAACCACAAUCACAUCACAGGAUCACCACACAACAUUUGCACUGCUCAAUAUUCUAAACCCACAUUGGCAGGGUUUUAG
Molecule: non-coding RNA, 546 nt
Organism: Phyllostomus hastatus (greater spear-nosed bat)
Lineage: Eukaryota; Metazoa; Chordata; Mammalia; Chiroptera; Phyllostomidae
Source: the annotation of a RefSeq genome assembly